Long non-coding RNA from Gadus macrocephalus (Pacific cod), 2713 nucleotides. RefSeq lists it as uncharacterized. NCBI's taxonomy places the organism in Eukaryota, Metazoa, Chordata, Actinopteri, Gadiformes, Gadidae. The record is from RefSeq and is a predicted model, not a curated record. The transcript is spliced from 3 exons.
UCCAAGGCAGACCUCCACAGCAGACUAACACUGAACUGGGAGGCCUACGCUCCACAGCCCUACUGUAACACUGAACUGGGAGGCCUACGCUCCACAGCCCUACUGUAACACUGAACUGGGAGGCCUACGCUCCACAGCCCUACUGUAACACUGAACUGGGAGGCCUACGCUCCACAGCCCUACUGUAACACUGAACUGGGAGGCCUACGCUCCACAGCCCUACUGUAACACUGAACUGGGAGGCCUACGCUCCACAGCCCUACUGUAACACUGAACUGGUAGGCCUACGCUCCACAGCCCUACUGUAACACUGAACUGGGAGGCCUACGCUCCACAGCCCUACUGUAACACUGAACUGGGAGGCCUACGCUCCACAGCCCUACUGUAACACUGAACUGGGAGGCCUACGCUCCAUAGCCCUACUGUAACACUGAACUGGUAGGCUUACGCUCCACAGCCCUACCGUAACACUGAACUGGGAGGCCUACGCUCCACAGUAUAGCAGUGCCAGCUGAGAGCCACUGACCUAAUACUGCCAUCAUCACUUAGCCAGAUGUGUCCACCACCUGCUGCAGGCUUUACCCCUCCCUCUAGUCCGCUGCCAGGAGGUCUCUGCCCUUAAAGGCUGAAAUGCUGCUAUACAUGUUCUGCGGUAGACACACAACAUGUUAUAUGCAUCACAUGCUUAAAACCAUAUUAUUGUUUUUAAAUACGUCAUUUGUAAAUAAUGAGUAAUGAUAAUUAGGGGUCCUAUGAAAACCGUACCAAACCAAUUGCAAUCGUUAGUAUAAUUAUUAUGAUUUUUUUCAUUCUAAUAAUAUGCAGAAAAACCAUUUGGCUCCAAAAGUUAUACAAUUGCUGGGCCAAAGUAACACAUAGAUGGCGCUAUAACAAAGCCUUGAAGUUCAGCAUUUAAACAUGUUGCCAUUAUCACUAGGAAGGUACAAUAUGCAUGAAACUUCUUAUCCUUGCACCAUUCGUCAUGAUGAACAACUUUCAAACCACAACCCCUACGGCCCGACCAUUUGGAUAUGGUGUGUGACAACAAUGGUUAAAGCAGCAUCCUCGGCACACGGGUCAUUUUUAUGGGACUUUAUGGUUUUAAAUUUAUAGCAGUAAGGCGAAAGGCGGCAGGGAUAUAGAUUUUACGUAUGUAAAAUACAUGCAUAUGUAAAAAUCUCUCCAACAUCUUUAAACAGCUCUGACAUUGCAUCAAAACACGUAAGCUCAGCUGUUGAACACUAAGGAGACUCCAUAGUAUAUCCAGGCCAAAUCUGAAGACUGAAAAAACAACAAAAAAACAUUAGUUAGAGGUUCUCCAUGUGAGCCGUGGCCUCUCCACGGUGCACUGGGCCUUAACGAGGGACACACGGCGUUCCCCAACGUCCUUUUGAUGACGGGAUAGAGUAGGCUUUGUUUUAUCGUAUGGAAACAUGGUUGGUGAUUGGUUUGAUAUGUUUACUUCCAGUAAACCAGUUUUUAAGGCAUAACAAUGUUAACCAUAUUACCAUAACCACCAAGCUCACCAUACCGAGGUAGAACCACAGCCAGAGGUAGAACCACAGGGGACCAGAGGUAGAACCACAGGGGACCAGAGGUAGAACCACAGGGGACCAGAGGUAGAACCACAGGGGACCAGAGGUAGAACCACAGCCAGAGGCAGAACCACAGCCAGAGGUAGAACCACAGCCAGAGGCAGAACCACAGCCAGAGGUAGAACCACAGGGGACCAGAGGUAGAACCACAGGGGACCAGAGGUAGAACCACAGGGGACCAGAGGUAGAACCACAGGGGACCAGAGGUAGAACCACAGGGGACCAGAGGUAGAACCACAGCCAGAGGCAGCGCGUGCCUCGCCCUGAUGGACAGAUGAGCAGCAGGGGGUAUUUUUAGAAGGAAUUAUCGGAGAGGAGAAACGACACCGGAGGGCUCCAGCAUCUCACACACACACACACACACACACACACACACACACACACACACACACACACACACACACACCAUCUCUCUGAAGACAGUCCUUCUCAGUGAACACACACACACAUCAGGCAGAAAUACACACAGACACAACUACACACACAUGCACUACCUUCCAGGCUCCACUGUCAGGAGGUUCAGUAUUUUUGUAUUUUUGUAUUUUUGUGUUACAUCAUUCAUCCAGCUGGAUUCCUGGCCCUGCAUCCAAAUUAUUGUCUACUAAAUCAUUAUGUGAUUAAGUCCAUUAAACACAUUAAUGACUAGUUCCAUGUCUGUUUAUUAAAUAAUACUUAAAGGCAAGUAACAUCAUUCAAAACACGUUUCUUAAAAUACCCUAAAUAUGGCUCUUUGAUGGUAAUACUGCACCCGUCAUUAGUCUGAUGAACAAGUCUAUUUUUCAAAACCAAAUCUCUUGCAUCCCUCUGAAUAUACCUGACCAAUUUAGAGACCCGUAGUGGCAGACUACUAUGCUGCCGUUUCCGCGUCAUACCAGAACCCCAACCGUCAAAGCACUAGCCCCAUCUAGUGUUCAGAAAGAGAAGUGUGGGCUCAUGUGUCCGCUAUUUAUAGAUCUACAAUGUUGAUGUCACAUAUCACGGGACAACUCAACUGUGAAAUAGUGGCCUAGUGCAGCUGGAAAAGGAAAGGCGUUAACACUGCCACAGCAAGAUCCUUCUCCAUGUUCACACUGUGGGACCCUUUUAACAGCAGAGCCAAUAUGGACAACAGAUUUAGC